This 606-nucleotide ribosomal RNA is filed under the name Nocardia transvalensis. RNAcentral's name for it is "bacterial SSU rRNA". It matches the Rfam family "Bacterial small subunit ribosomal RNA", at positions 46 to 669 of the family's 1533-position model. Lineage: Bacteria; Bacillati; Actinomycetota; Actinomycetes; Mycobacteriales; Nocardiaceae. The record is from RNAcentral.
GCUUAACACAUGCAAGUCGAGCGGUAAGGCCCUUCGGGGUACACGAGCGGCGAACGGGUGAGUAACACGUGGGUGAUCUGCCUCGUACUCUGGGAUAAGCCUGGGAAACUGGGUCUAAUACCGGAUAUGACCACAUGUCGCAUGGUGUGUGGUGGAAAGAUUUAUCGGUGCGAGAUGGGCCCGCGGCCUAUCAGCUUGUUGGUGGGGUAAUGGCCUACCAAGGCGACGACGGGUAGCCGGCCUGAGAGGGCGACCGGCCACACUGGGACUGAGACACGGCCCAGACUCCUACGGGAGGCAGCAGUGGGGAAUAUUGCACAAUGGGCGGAAGCCUGAUGCAGCGACGCCGCGUGCGGGAUGACGGCCUUCGGGUUGUAAACCGCUUUCGACAGGGACGAAGCGCAAGUGACGGUACCUGUAGAAGAAGCACCGGCCAACUACGUGCCAGCAGCCGCGGUAAUACGUAGGGUGCGAGCGUUGUCCGGAAUUACUGGGCGUAAAGAGCUUGUAGGCGGUUUGUCGCGUCGUUCGUGAAAACUUGGGGCUCAACCCCAAGCUUGCGGGCGAUACGGGCAGACUAGAGUACUGCAGGGGAGACUGGAAUUC